GACACAAUGGCCGAGUGGUCUAAGGCGCCGGUUUUGGGCACCAGUCUUCAUUGGCAUGAGUUCAAAUCCCACUCAUGUCA
Molecule: transfer RNA, 80 nt
Organism: Phytophthora nicotianae (black shank of tobacco agent)
Lineage: Eukaryota; Oomycota; Peronosporomycetes; Peronosporales; Peronosporaceae
Rfam family: tRNA
About the family: Transfer RNA (tRNA) molecules are approximately 80 nucleotides in length. Their secondary structure includes four short double-helical elements and three loops (D, anti-codon, and T loops). Further hydrogen bonds mediate the characteristic L-shaped molecular structure. tRNAs have two regions of fundamental functional importance: the anti-codon, which is responsible for specific mRNA codon recognition, and the 3' end, to which the tRNAs corresponding amino acid is attached (by aminoacyl-tRNA synthetases). tRNAs cope with the degeneracy of the genetic code in two manners: having more than one tRNA (with a specific anti-codon) for a particular amino acid; and 'wobble' base-pairing, i.e. permitting non-standard base-pairing at the 3rd anti-codon position.
Source: Rfam